UUAUUUGAUGAUGAAAAUUGA
Molecule: non-coding RNA, 21 nt
Filed under: Caenorhabditis elegans
Lineage: Eukaryota; Metazoa; Nematoda; Chromadorea; Rhabditida; Rhabditidae
Source: RNAcentral